Long non-coding RNA from Musa acuminata AAA Group (dessert banana), 1545 nucleotides. RefSeq lists it as uncharacterized. Lineage: Eukaryota; Viridiplantae; Streptophyta; Magnoliopsida; Zingiberales; Musaceae. The transcript has 5 exons. The record is from RefSeq and is a predicted model, not a curated record.
GCGAAGCUGCAAGGGAGGAAACGAGGGCCUCCCCAAGGUGAGAUAAAGAAGAUCUCUCUCGCUCGCGUUUUGUCCUUUGUUUGGAGGUGCUAUCGAUCUAGGAUUAGGGGUUCAACUCGAGGGAUCUCACUUGGGUUCCUGCCCCGAUUCGCCGUCCCAUUAGGGUUCGACUUCGACCCCCACCUCGUGUUGGGCGGAACUUAGGUUCCUUCGGCUCGAUCGUGGCUUGCUUCUCACGCUAUGAACGCUUAGGAUUGGGCCGAAGAGCAAUUAAGGUCAAUGUGCAUGGGUGUCCACAUUCUAUUUCGAGGCUACAUUCGAGGAGUGAAAAAAAAAAUAGGGCAGCAGGGACAAUAUGCUGAUUUAGGCAUCAAUCCUUUGGUAGCUGCACAGAUGCAAUACAUGUCAGCACAGAGCGUACAACACAACUCUGGUAUGAGUCAUUUUCCAAGUGGAUCAGAUUCUUUCCAGCCUGGUGAAGAACAUCAAUAUAUGCCUUCUAAAGAAGAGGGACAAUGGCAGUGGAAUAGAAAUGACCCAAAGGGAUCAAAUCAUCUAUCUCAACUGUAUAAAGAAGGCCAAUAAAGACCCAAGAGCACUAGCUUAUGAGGAUUAGCUGGAGGCCAGAUUUGAGGAUAGCACUCUUCGUCAAACUUUUGAAGGUCUUGAACAAAAAUUUCUUUAUGAUAUUAUGAACUUGACCAAGGAGCAGCAGGAAGCAGAAGACAGAGAGAAUGCUAGACAUCGAGAGGUCCAGCCUCCCAUAUCCUUAAGUUUCUGCAUUGAAUCGAUUCUAAAUGCUUGCACAAAAAUUUUUUGAGCAUUAUCCUGGUGGUCGUGGCUUUGGUUCUCAUGAUCAUUAUCCUGGUGGUCGAGCUUAUAACUCCAGAGGCCGACAUUUUUUAGCAAAGUUGCAAAAAUGUUUCUCCUCAUCCUUUGGCCUGUCAUCACUGCUUGACAACAUUAUUCUGAAGACUCGUAUCUCAGUAGUAUUGAUGAAGCACAAAUAGCGUUUCUCUAAGCGGCAACUGUUCUGCUGAAUGCCGAUCAUGUCUGGAUAUGGGUGUGUAGCAGUGUAGUGGAUAAUCUUCAAAAUUUUCUUAGUGUAUUUCACUGUGAAUUACUUCAAUAUCAUCACCUCGAUCAAUAUAUUUGUUCUGAACAUGGUGGCAACAGAGCUCUAGACCUCCUCAUCAUAAUUCUGGGCAGGCUUAGCUUCAGUUUGAGAUUUUCUCGAAUGAUCAUCAGGCAGUGUUUCUUUCACAGGACAGUCGUGAGCAUGCUGGUUGAUCUUAAUAUAUCAGCACUCAACCUUCGUCAAGGCAAAAUUUCAUAUACGCCAGUGAAAGACCAGUCUUCUAUUUGCGCUUUCAAAAGUGUAAUAUCAAAUUUGUUCCUCAUGGAGCUAUAAAUUCUUUUGUCACUGGUAUAUUCAUGGUGGAUGCCUGUGAACUCAGUGUGCUACCAUCAACCAUAUCUACCCCUAAACUAAGGUACAUGUGAUAUUUUUUAUAUGUUGGAAUAUUAUAUUUACUCUUUCUGGUA